UACGUAGGGUGCAAGCGUUGUCCGGAAUUAUUGGGCGUAAAGAGCUCGUAGGCGGUUUGUCGCGUCGGAUGUGAAAUCCAGGGCUCAACCUGGACCUGCAUUCGAUACGGGCAGACUAGAGUUCGGUAGGGGAGUGCGGAAUUCCCGGUGUAGCGGUGAAAUGCGCAGAUAUCGGGAGGAACACCAGUGGCGAAGGCGGCACUCUGGGCCGGAACUGACGCUGAGAGACGAAAGCUAGGGGAGCGAAUGGG
RNAcentral lists this ribosomal RNA (251 nucleotides) under uncultured bacterium. RNAcentral describes it as "partial 16S ribosomal RNA". It matches the Rfam family "Bacterial small subunit ribosomal RNA", at positions 524 to 776 of the family's 1533-position model. The record is from RNAcentral.